UGCGCCCGCGGCUCAGGUCGGCCAGCUGGCUUUGCAGGGUGGCGAUCUGGCUUUCACCCAGGGCCAGUUGCAGUUCCACGCCGUUGGCCGUGA
RNAcentral lists this transfer RNA (93 nucleotides) under Pseudomonas chlororaphis. RNAcentral describes it as "tRNA-Ala(tgc)". Lineage: Bacteria; Pseudomonadati; Pseudomonadota; Gammaproteobacteria; Pseudomonadales; Pseudomonadaceae. The record is from RNAcentral.